RNAcentral lists this ribosomal RNA (253 nucleotides) under uncultured bacterium. RNAcentral describes it as "partial 16S ribosomal RNA". It matches the Rfam family "Bacterial small subunit ribosomal RNA", at positions 524 to 776 of the family's 1533-position model. The record is from RNAcentral.
UACGAAGGGGGCAAGCGUUGUUCGGAUUUACUGGGCGUAAAGGGCGCGCAGGCGGUCUUGAAAGUCAGGCGUGAAAGCCCCGGGCUUAACCUGGGAAUUGCGCUUGAUACUCUGAGACUGGAGUACGGGAGAGGAGAGUGGAAUUCCCAGUGUAGAGGUGAAAUUCGUAGAUAUUGGGAAGAACACCAGUGGCGAAGGCGGCUCUCUGGACCGUAACUGACACUGAGGCGCGAAAGCGUGGGGAGCAAACAGG